AUAUAUCAUGUGUAGAGAGCUUGUUUCUCUUUUCUUCAGAGACCUACAAAUCUCUCCGGCUGCGAUUUACUUUAUUUCCUUUUUUGUAGCCGGUUAAAUACUAAUUGCUUUAGGGUUCGUUCGUCUCUUUUAUGUUUUCGAUCUAGGUUUAAUCCUUAACAAAGGAAGGAAGUGGUGUUGGGUGUUAAUUGUACUCAGUCCCAAAUCGUUGCACAAAUGCCUCGGCUCGGAAUAAAAAAAGAAUGGUGAUGGAUUCAUACGAUUUGGGACUGAUUCGAUUGAUACAAAAAACCCUCCUUGUCCCGUUGUUGCGUAAUUGGUCCCGUACUGUUCUAUAAGCUUAUGAUUUGGGGUUAAGAGUGUGGUGCAUGAUACUUGGUCCCAUAUUGCCUUGGUUUAAAACCAGAUCAGAUGGAUUAUUAAGGCCUGGCUGGUUAUAAUAUUGCGGUAGUCUUUUUUGUUUUCGAUUUUGGGUUGGUCGUUAACAAAUAAGAUGGGGGUGGUGCUUGUGUUAAUCGAAUUCAGUCCCAAAUCGGUAUACAAAUGCCUCGGCUCGGGAAGAUAAAAGAAUGGUGAUGGAUUCAUACAAUUUGGGACUGAAUCGUUUAAUUCGAAAACCCUCUUUGUCCCGUUGUUGCGUAAUAAUUGGUCCCUAAAUCUCAUUUCAAAUGCCUCGGUUAAUAUUCCAUUCUUAUGAUUGGGGUUAAGAGUGUGGUGCAUAUUACAUGGUCCGUGUCCCAUUCUGUUCUAUAUAUUGUCUUGGUUUAAAACCAGAUCGGUUGAAAAGUAAAGCCUUGGCUCGGCUAUAAAGGAUUUUCUUUUGGUGGUGGUGCAUGCUAUAUGGUCCGGAAUCGUUUAUAACAGAUCCCAAUCUUGAGUCUUCCAUGACAAUUGGUCCCAACUUUUUAUAAAAUCCCAUUCUAGCUUAUCAAAGUGUAAGCUUAUUGUCUGGAAAAUACUGUGGUUCAUGAUAGCUUGGUCCCUGAUUCUCUACUUGAUUGCCUUAAUUAAGAUGGGAAACUUGAGAAUGUGAAAGAGUGUGGUGCAUGAUACUUGGUCCCUGAAUUGUCCAUAUAAAUGCCUCGGCUAAAAACCCAUUAUAAGCUUAUUGUGAAGCCUAUGGUGCAUGAUACUUAUUUUGAGGGAAAAAACACAAGUCUUUGAAGUUUUUAUGAAAACACAAGUCCCUGAACUGUCCAUAUAAAUGCCUCAGCUAAAAACCCAUUAUAAGAUUUGUGUGAAAGAGUGUGGUGCAUGAUACAUGGUAUCUGAUUAAGAGUGUGGUGCAUGAUACUUGGUCCUAGUCCCAUAUUGUUCUUAACAAUUUCCUUGGUUAAAAACCACAGUGAAAGCUAAAUUCUACUAAGGUUGGUUAAUGACAAAGAGUGAGGUGCAUGAUUACUAUACAGGGUCCUGGAUUCCCUUUUCAAAUGCCUUGGUUAAAACUUGAAACCCCAUUGGAAGCUAAUCUUAAUAAGCUUGGGAAUGGGAAGGAGUGUGGUGCAUGAUAUAUACAGAUGCCUCAACUAAAACCCCAUAAUAAGCUGAUCAUAAUAAGCGUAUGAUUUGGACAGAGUGUGGUGCCUGAUAUUUGGUCUUAGUCCCAGAUUGUUCAAAAAUCUCCUUGAUUAAAAACCAGACUGCAAGUUAUUUCAAUAGGCAUACGCUCAUAAAUGGAAAAAGAGUAUGGUGCAUGAUAGGUGCAUGAUAUACCUGCCAAUACAAAUGCCUCUUAAUGCCCCGAUUGAUAUUGCUGCAUAACACUUUGUCGAUACAAAAGUUACGACUCAAUUAAAACAUUCAAUAUAAGUUCAUCAAGAGCUUAUGAAUGGGAAAGUGUAGAUGGUGAUGCAUGAUAUUUGGUCCAAAAAAUAUUAAACAAUUACCUCAGGUCAUCAAGAAAACAAGGACCUAAUGAAUGGGAAAAAGAUGCAUGAUACUCUGUUCCUAGUGUCUAUAAAACAAGGAUUAUCUGUUCAUAAAAUAUUUAAACAAUUGCCUCAACUUAUCAAGAAGACAAGGAUCUAAUGAAUGGGAGCAAUGCAUGAUACUCUGUUCCUAAUGUCUAUAAAAUAUGCCUAUGUUCGGUAAUAUUCUAAUCAGAUGUCUCGGUUUACAAUAACCCAUCAUAAGCUUAUGAUUGGAGGUUAGAGUGUGGUGCAUGAUACUUGUGCCGAGUCCCAUAUUGUUCUAUAUAUUACCUUGGUUAAUAACCAGAUCAGUUUAAAACUAAAGCCUUAGGUCGGUUAUAAACGGAGAGAAAUUUUGGUGGUGGCGCAUGCUAUUUGGUCUGGAAUCGGCUUUACAAAUCUCUCGCUCCAGUCUUCCAUAAUAAUUAAAAAGUAAAAACUCAGUAGAUGAGUGACUGAAACCAUAAAAGAAAAAAAAGAAGGAUACGAGUUGGUCAUGAUGGUAACAAAUGGAAGUACAUGUAUGCAGGAACUUGAGAAUGUGAAAGAGUGUGGUGCAUGAUAAUUGUUCCCUGGUUUGUCCAUAUAAAUGCCUCGGUUAAAAACUCACUAUAAGCUUCUUGUGAAAGAGUGUGGUGCAUGAUACUUGGUUCUAGUCCCAUAUAUAUUGUUCUAACCAUUUCCUUGGUUAAAAACACCACAGUGGAAGCUAAAUUCUAAUAAGCUUGUAUAAAUGAAAAAGAGUAUAGUGCAUGAUUCUCCAGUCAAAUGCCUCAGAGUUAAAAGCCCAUUGAAAGCUCAUCUUGAUAAACUUGGGAAUGUGAAAGAGUGUGGUGCAUGAUAUACUUGUCAAUACAAUGCCUCUUAAAGCCCCAGGGUAAGCUAAUCAUAUGAAGCUUAUGAACAUGAACUAGUGUGGUCCGUGAAACUUGCUUCCGGAUUGUCUAUGCAAAUGCUUCGGUUAAAACUUAAAACAACGCAUGAUAAGCCAAUCGGUUGAUACUGCUACAUAACACUUUGUCUAUACAAAAGUGACGACUCAAUUUUAAAACACACAAUAUAAGUUCAUGAUGAGCUUAUGAAUGGGAAAGUCUAGAUGGGAAGGCAUGAUAUUUUGACCCAUAAUGUUUUUUUUUUUUAAAUUGCCUCAGCUCAUCAAGAAGACAAAUAUCUAAUGAAUGAGAAAAGGAUGCAUGAAACUCUGUUCUAAGUGUCUAUAAAAAAUGCCUCUGUUCGGUUAACGAAUCCACAUUGUCAAGCUUAUUAAUGAAAAAGGGUAAAUUGGUGGUGCAGGAAACUUAGUACCGAACUCUUUAUAAGCUCCUUUCAGGUUUAUGAGUGGUAGGGAAUAUGUCUUAGUUAAAACCCAUUGGAAAGCUAAUCGUAAUAAGCUUGGGAAUGAGAAAGAGUGUGGUACAUAAUAAUACUUGGUUCCAGAUUGUAUAUAAAAGAGCCUCGGUUACAACCCUGUUGUAAGUUUAUAAAUGGGAAAGAGUAUGGUUCACGAGAGACUAGGCCCGGAUUGACUAUAGAAAUGUUAUCGGUUAGAAAAACCCAUUGUAAGCUUAUUAUAUCAAACUUAUGAACAGGAACUGAUGUAGUGCGUGAAACUUGCCUCCGGACUGUCUAUUCAAGUGCAUCGGUUAAAACGCAUUACAAACCAACCGGUUGAUGUUGUUGCAUGACAACACUUUGACUUUGUCCCAAUUUGUCUGCAAAAGGUGGCAAACUUAGUUAUAACAACACAGUACAAGUUUUUCAUGAGCUUAUAUAUGAAUGGGAAAGUGUUGAUGGUGAUGCAUGAUAAUUGGUCCCGAAAAGUUUAUACAAUUGCCUCAGCUCAUCAAGAGCCACCGAAUGGGAAAAAGAUAUAUGGUACUCUGUUCCAAAUGUCUACAAAAAUGCGUCUUUUUGGUUUAAAAAGUCCAUAUUGUCAAGCUUAUUAAUGGAAAGAAACAAGGGUGGAUGGUGGUUUAACCAACUAGGUUUCGAAAAUUCUACAUGCCUCAGGUUCGGCUAAGUAAAAACCUCAUCUUAAGCUCAUUUGAAGUUUACGAGUGGUGUUGCAUAUAGGGACAUGUAUGUCUGUUAUCAAAUGUCUUGGUUCAGAAUACUCAUGGGGAGGUUUUUUAAUGAAUAAAUGGGGGUGCAUGAUUGGAACUAUGUCAUGUGUUCAUUUAUACAAAUGCCUUGACUUGGUAAAAAUUAGUAGUAAGCGAAGUGAAGUUUAAGAAUGAGAAAAGGUUUGAUGGUGUUGCAUAAUAACUACUGGAGAAAGGGGUUGAUUUAUAAGUAACUGGAUGCUUAUGAAGGGGGUUGAAAAAUGGUUACGGUGGCGAGCAUAUAUAAAUAAAGAAUUAUGUUCCUUGAGCACACAAGCUUAUGAGUGAGGAAAGGGAUUCAACCAAUUCAUUUGGGAGAAUUCAAGAUGGUCAUGUAAACCAAGAUGCUGUCAAGGUGGUGACAUGCAGACAUGAUGAUGUCUUUUAGCCUGAGUCAAGGCAUUUGAUAAGAAAAAUUGCAUGCUACUUUCAUAUCUCGUAAAAAGAGAUUGUUGUUCUAACCAAGGUUUUUAUAUGUAUAUUUUGCAGGUCUUAAAAGAGAUUUUUUCUUGGAAGAGCAACAGGAAUUACGAAAAGUUUCUUCCUUAAAAGCGAUUCAGGAAGGUUGAUCAUCAUGGUGAUUAAUUUUUGAAAGGUCGAGAGUGGUGGACUGAAGAAUCUAAUUGGUAAUGCUUUUUUGAGACUUACAUAACAUAAAGUUUAACUUAUUGUGCUGCUAAAUUUAUUAUUGCAGGACUCUCUCCGAUGGGAUAACAUGAGCAAGUAUCACCUUCUGCAGCGUUAGAAUUGUCUGAUCAAGUGAUUUAAUUAUAUAACCAUAGAGAAUUAAAAAAAAAAAAAAAAACCCCAAAAAAUACAAGUUUGGUAUCCGCUCUAGAGAAUCUUGAUGAAACAUCAACAUGUAUUGAUGAUGAUGUUAUCUCGAAGCAACAAGAAGGUUUAUGCAGUCAAAGCAUAAUUGAUUUGAGUAUUCAUCUAUGAUCUGUCUUCAUCUUUAAUUUGAUGGAAUCGUAAAAGGACAUUACAUUAUACAGAUGAGUUGAAUUUGACCACGACAGUAAAACAGAAAAAUUGAAGAUUACAAAGCAAAAUCUUGAUACUUAUAUUUUGGUUUAGUUCCUCGAUAACAUCUUUUAAGGUAUUCAAUAGAUGCCAUGUCCAUCUAUACCACAACCAGGCAGCUAGCUAAUUAGAUUGUCUCUGCAUUAAUGGUGAUCUUCUUUCUUUCUUUAUAUGUUUGCAUUUACAAGUUCCUG
RNAcentral lists this long non-coding RNA (5229 nucleotides) under Capsella rubella. Its description in RNAcentral is "long non-coding RNA (CRUB_LNC003595)". Lineage: Eukaryota; Viridiplantae; Streptophyta; Magnoliopsida; Brassicales; Brassicaceae. The record is from RNAcentral.